AUCCAUCAUCAACAAACAUGGCGGAUAGACGGAAACCUGUCCCGUCUGAAGAAAGAAUACAAGAAACUGACAGACAGUUUCUUGAGAGAACGGGUGUUGGUAAUAUAGUCCGAGAUGUUCUCGCCAAAAUUGUAGCAAACAGACCAGCAGACCCAAUAGAUUUCCUAGCUACGUAUUUCGUGUCUCAGGAGGAGCAGAGUACGAACGUUCAGAGAGCAUGUCAGGUGAUCCAGAUGACUCACCACAGUCGUCCAGUGUUUGAGUCGAACGUCCGCGUCGCCUACGACAUUCUCAGCAAACCUAAAACAACGGGUCCAGCGAGCAAGGUUCAGAAGAAGAGUGGUCUAUCCGGAGCCAUGUACACCGAUGUACUGUACAUGUUGUGCAGUGACAUUCCGACAGCGAUAACCAGUAAGCUUAUGAAGAAGAUUCAGUGUUUUGACUUCGAGGCCGUCCCCUACGAUGUGUUCCGGUCAGCAGUGUUCACCUGUUGUGUUCUACAAGAUUACGUCGCACUGUCGGCACACCUGUUUGACUCACUCGACUCACAGAAAUCGGGAAAAGCCAACAAGGUGCUGUGUGACGCAGUGCUGGAUCAGCUGAGGACUGCACUGGGAAGUUCGAGAAACGACGUCAAAAGAAUCAUGGAAUCAGGAUACAAUCUCGGACCUGAUGGCUUGCAUCUUGCAUUAGACCGGGCAUUAACACGGGAGAGGUCGAACAGUCUUCAGACACUGGACAACUUUGUAAUGGAAGCUUGUGAUGCCUUUCUAACAAAGGUUAAAAAGAAUUCCUGACACUCGCUUUGUCUUGGCUUCACCUCAUUGUGACUUUGGUUUAUCACUCGUCAUCUUGUACUAUAUACACACCUCACCUCACGGAUUGUUGUUGCCAUGGUAAUGUGUGUGUGUGUAAAUGUUCCAGAGUACGUGUAACCGUCUAGAGCGUCCUGCUAACCUCUUCCUGAAAACCUGACAGUAGUAUAUCUGACAUUACAAGGCGUUCAUUGAGUUUAACUUAUUUUUCUUGUGACAUUGCAAGAAGUUCAUUUACAUUAAUUUAUUUUUCUUGCUUGUGACAUUACAAGGCGUUCAUUCACAUUAAUUUAUUUCUGUAAUGGUGACACUACAAAACAUCCAUUCAUUGUAAUUUAUUUUCGUACUUACUCGUUAAUAGUAGUAAGGGCCCCACUAUGGGGCAUAUCGAUUUCACUAUUGCAUCAUCCAAGAUGGCCGCCAAUCUGCGUAGUAAAGGGGAUGAUGCCAUACUGACGUCACUAGGCCCCGCCUCCUGAAGGGUGUAUACAUCUUUAUUUUAAGAACUGACUGAUGCAAUGCUGACGUCACUAGGCCCCGCCUCUAGAAGGGUGUGGGCACAUUUAUUUUAAGAAUUGGUGUAAUACUGACGUCACUCUUACAUUGUACAUUCCAGUUUUUCUUUUAAGAACCGAUGUAAUGCUCAAUACAGUAGUUUGUCCAAAUGUGUAUUUGAAGACAAUGGUUACUUAAAAGACGUAUGUUAAUUAAUAUCCCCCACCCCCUUUGUUAUUAUAUAGCAGCUUAUGAAAGAGACCGUUCGUCGCACCCAACAUUGAAUACAAGUGUACGAGAGAAGAAAUAAAGAAAGAAUGAAGAGUUGUGAAACGUUAAUAAAUGAUACCUUGA
This is an RNA transcript of Gigantopelta aegis, 1664 nucleotides long. It is a transcript of the gene named tubulin polyglutamylase complex subunit 1-like, with no coding region annotated. Lineage: Eukaryota; Metazoa; Mollusca; Gastropoda; Neomphalida; Peltospiridae. The transcript has 10 exons. The record is from RefSeq and is a predicted model, not a curated record.